This 496-nucleotide ribosomal RNA is filed under the name uncultured bacterium. Its description in RNAcentral is "partial 16S ribosomal RNA". It matches the Rfam family "Bacterial small subunit ribosomal RNA", at positions 28 to 506 of the family's 1533-position model. The record is from RNAcentral.
GACGAACGCUGGCGGCGUGCCUAAUACAUGCAAGUAGAACGCUGAAGCUUGGUGCUUGCACCGAGCGGGUGAGUUGCGCACGGGUGAGUAACGCGUAGGUAACCUGCCUGGUAGCGGGGGAUAACUAUUGGAAACGAUAGCUAAUACCGCAUAACAGUAGAUAUCGCAUGAUAGCUACUUGAAAGGUGCAAAUGCACCACUACCAGGUGGACCUGCGUUGUAUUAGCUAGUUGGUGAGGUAACGGCUCACCAAGGCAACGAUACAUAGCCGACCUGAGAGGGUGAUCGGCCACACUGGGACUGAGACACGGCCCAGACUCCUACGGGAGGCAGCAGUAGGGAAUCUUCGGCAAUGGUCGGAAGUCUGACCGAGCAACGCCGCGUGAGUGAAGAAGGUUUUCGGAUCGUAAAGCUCUGUUGUAAGAGAAGAACGAGUGUGAGAGGUGAAAGUUCACACUGUGACGGUAUCGUACCAGAAAGGGACGGCUAACUACGU